GAUGAAGAACGUAGCGAAAUGCGAUAAGUAAUGUGAAUUGCAGAAUUCAGUGAAUCAUCGAAUCUUUGAACGCACAUUGCGCCCGCCAGUAUUCUGGCGGGCAUGCCUGUUCGAGCGUCAUUACAACCCUCAGGCCCCCGGGCCUGGCGUUGGGGAUCGGCGGAAGCCCCCUGCGGGCACAACGCCGUCCCCCAAAUACAGUGGCGGUCCCGCCGCAGCUUCCAUUGCGUAGUAGCUAACACCUCGCAACUGGAGUGCGGCGCGGCCACGCCGUAAAACACCCAACUUCUGAAUGUUGACCUCGAAUCAGGUAGGAAUACCCGCUGAACUUAAGCAUAUCAAUAAGCGGAGGA
Molecule: unclassified non-coding RNA, 353 nt
Filed under: soil metagenome
Description: partial contains 5.8S ribosomal RNA, internal transcribed spacer 2, and large subunit ribosomal RNA
Rfam family: 5.8S ribosomal RNA (bases 1-120)
Source: RNAcentral